CCUCUCCUCCGCAUCGCCUCGGCCCGCUGCCCCAACCGCUCGGCUGUCCCCGGCCCUCCCUGCCAGCCUUCGUGCCCCGAAGCGCGGGCGUCACUGUCCACUCACCAGGUCCUGGUCGGCCUGCUCCCAGCGACGUUGGAAGAGGCAACGGCAGAACUCCCCGAGCUGCCUCACAGAGGGCCGGUGAGGUGAUGCCGUGUUUGUACGCCCCUGAGUUUCUCACAAAAUGGCACAAAAAGUGGGUGGCUUGGUGAGGCGGACUAACCCGCCAAAUAUGUUCUUCCACACAUACUGAAGGCUGGAGGCCCAGCUCUGCGCCAGCUUCACAGGUGCCCACGGAGGAGCUUGCCCAGACCUGCACGCCGAGGAGAGCCGGUUGCAAGGCACGUCACUCCUGCACCCCCAGCCUGCAAGAUGAAGCAACCCUUCAGCCCAGCUCUCCUUCGGGACCCCCUCAAGCAGCAGCGGUAGGCAGGGUUCUUGAGUCCAACAAGCCCAAGUCAGAUCACUACAGGAAGAAUUUCUUCUAAGGAGAGAAUCAAAUGAAGCAGCAAGGAAAUCAUUCAGAGCACCUACUACCAAUCUCUCUUUGAUUGACAAGAAAGAACAGGACAGAAGAAUCUCUGGAGACUUUACUGCUGUUUGUAAGUACAACUGAUAAUCUUUUUUGACUUCUGUAUACAAUUAUCAACUAAAUAUGGAACAGGAAGAAACUUCUGAAAAUCUAAACUGACUUCGCUUAAACUUACAACUCCAUCUUUUUCCAGUCCAGAUGUCCUUUCUAGGUCAGAAAGUUGAUGCCUGUUAA
Aquila chrysaetos chrysaetos is the source of this 808-nucleotide long non-coding RNA. RefSeq lists it as uncharacterized. The transcript is spliced from 3 exons. NCBI's taxonomy places the organism in Eukaryota, Metazoa, Chordata, Aves, Accipitriformes, Accipitridae. The record is from RefSeq and is a predicted model, not a curated record.